AGAGUUUGAUCCUGGCUCAGAUGAACGCUGGCGGCGUGCUUAACACAUGCAAGUCGAACGGGAAACCUUUUAUUGAAGCUUCGGCAGAUUUAGCUGGUUUCUAGUGGCGGACGGGUGAGUAACGCGUGGGUAACCUGCCUUAUACAGGGGGAUAACAGUCAGAAAUGACUGCUAAUACCGCAUAAGCGCACAGAGCUGCAUGGCUCGGUGUGAAAAACUCCGGUGGUAUAAGAUGGACCCGCGUUGGAUUAGCUAGUUGGUGAGGUAACGGCCCACCAAGGCGACGAUCCAUAGCCGGCCUGAGAGGGUGAACGGCCACAUUGGGACUGAGACACGGCCCAGACUCCUACGGGAGGCAGCAGUGGGGAAUAUUGCACAAUGGGGGAAACCCUGAUGCAGCGACGCCGCGUGAAGGAAGAAGUAUCUCGGUAUGUAAACUUCUAUCAGCAGGGAAGAAAAUGACGGUACCUGACUAAGAAGCCCCGGCUAACUACGUGCCAGCAGCCGCGGU
Molecule: ribosomal RNA, 511 nt
Filed under: Ruminococcus sp. CO7
Lineage: Bacteria; Bacillati; Bacillota; Clostridia; Eubacteriales; Oscillospiraceae
Description: bacterial SSU rRNA
Rfam family: Bacterial small subunit ribosomal RNA
Source: RNAcentral